RNAcentral lists this unclassified non-coding RNA (320 nucleotides) under plant metagenome. RNAcentral describes it as "partial contains 5.8S ribosomal RNA, internal transcribed spacer 2, and large subunit ribosomal RNA". The stretch from base 1 to 105 matches the Rfam family "5.8S ribosomal RNA", at positions 50 to 154 of the family's 154-position model. The record is from RNAcentral.
GAAAUGCGAUAAGUAAUGUGAAUUGCAGAAUUCAGUGAAUCAUCGAAUCUUUGAACGCACAUUGCGCCCGCCAGUAUUCUGGCGGGCAUGCCUGUUCGAGCGUCAUUACAACCCUCAGGCCCCCGGGCCUGGCGUUGGGGAUCGGCGGAAGCCCACUGCGGGCACAACGCCGUCCCCCAAAUACAGUGGCGGUCCCGCCGCAGCUUCCAUUGCGUAGUAGCUAACACCUCGCAACUGGAGAGCGGCGCGGCCACGCCGUAAAACACCCAACUUCUGAAUGUUGACCUCGAAUCAGGUAGGAAUACCCGCUGAACUUAAGC